GUGAAACGUUCCAUUUCCUGCCUUCCCCACAAAGACUUCAGCUUGUGUCACAUCCUCUGUUGAUAAAGUAGAACCUUUAUCUCUAAUGCUUUCAGCCAAGCGUUCUGCUCACAUAGCAUGUGGUGUCAAUCAAGGAGAGAAGUCUGGCUUGUGAAUGGGGUUGACAAGAAGAAUUCCAGUUAGAGUAGAUGUUGGAAGUCCCAGCCACACUGAAGUAUACCUCAACUCCUGUUAACAUCUUCCAAAACAUUCAACAAAGAGGUUUUAGGGAUACAGGCUGGCUUCAGACAGUCAUCACACUUCCUUCAGCUGCCCUGUCUCAAGGCCAUCUUCCCCAAAGGCAUCCAGUCAUCAUGCAGAAACGGAGACCAAGAGCAGAGUUUGCCACAGUCAUUAAUCACUUCUGUUGCUUUGGGGUAUGA
Molecule: long non-coding RNA, 422 nt
Filed under: Phasianus colchicus (ring-necked pheasant)
Lineage: Eukaryota; Metazoa; Chordata; Aves; Galliformes; Phasianidae
Description: lncRNA (ENSPCLG00000018768.1)
Source: RNAcentral